CCCCGGGUGGCGAAACCGGUAAACGCGGUGGCCUUGGGAGCCACUGCUGCUUCGCAGCUUGAGGGUUCGAAUCCCUCCCCGGGGACCA
RNAcentral lists this transfer RNA (88 nucleotides) under Dehalococcoidia bacterium. Its description in RNAcentral is "tRNA-Pro". It matches the Rfam family "tRNA". Rfam says of the family: Transfer RNA (tRNA) molecules are approximately 80 nucleotides in length. Their secondary structure includes four short double-helical elements and three loops (D, anti-codon, and T loops). The record is from RNAcentral. Lineage: Bacteria; Bacillati; Chloroflexota; Dehalococcoidia.